UUAAUGGGUAUAAGCCUGGGCUCGCCUCUGUUGGCCAUCUCGGUGGCCUAUGGCAGCCCACAUAUGGCAGCCUCUGGCCAUCUCCCUUGGAGAUGGCUUCGGCUGGCCGAGGCGCCCGAGCGGCGCCGGCGUCGGUGAGCUAUGAGCUAUGGGGCCCGGGUAGCGGCUACUGCGCAUGCGCACUGCACACCAUCCCCCACUCGCAACGCAGCGCAGCGGUUCCGGACUACGGCGUCGACGAUUACGAAUUUAGUGAGAAACGGUUGAUUAUUCUUCUACUUCAAUAAAGUACAACGAUCCAGAAGACGUUGUACCUGCCGAGUAACGGAGUCAACCGCAGGCUGCCUGCCAGUCGGCGACGGAUCAGCUGCACGGGACACCGCUGCACGAAAUGAACGAUGGCGAGUGGUGACGACCCGCCACCCGGACCGUCAAAGGGAAAGCGACCAUCGUUGUUCCAACGGCGACAGACGAACUUUGGGCUGCUCUAGAGGCGCAGGCGCUCGUCGAGUGUUACAUGGCCUUAUGUGCAGCUGUCUGGGUCAAUCGACCUCCUCUAAUUCGGCGUCAGCGCCCGUGCCGAGCUGCUGGAUG
Molecule: long non-coding RNA, 594 nt
Organism: Amphibalanus amphitrite
Lineage: Eukaryota; Metazoa; Arthropoda; Thecostraca; Balanomorpha; Balanidae
Exons: 2
Source: RefSeq, a predicted model, not a curated record